CCCUUAGAUGUUCUGGGCCGCACGCGCGCUACACUGACGGAUUCAACGAGCUUACAACCUUGGCCGAAAGGUCUGGGUAAUCUCCAAAAUCCGUCGUGAUGGGGAUAGAUUAUUGCAAUUAUUAAUCUUCAACGAGGAAUGCCUAGUAAGCGCGAGUCAUCAGCUCGCGCUGAUUACGUCCCUGCCCUUUGUACACACCGCCCGUCGCUACUACCGAUUGGAUGGUUUAGCGAGAACUUUGGACCGGAGCUCGGGUGGUCAGCAAUGGCCGCCCGAGACAUACUGGGAAAUCGCUCCAGCUUGAUCAUCUAGAGGAAGUAAAAGUCGUAACA
RNAcentral lists this ribosomal RNA (332 nucleotides) under uncultured eukaryote. Its description in RNAcentral is "partial 18S ribosomal RNA". It matches the Rfam family "Eukaryotic small subunit ribosomal RNA", at positions 1470 to 1796 of the family's 1831-position model. The record is from RNAcentral.